AUGGCGGAGCUCUUCGGCCCAAUGCAAGCGAAGAACAGUCCUGUAGUGCGGGUAGACGACAUGGAGCCGAGUGUCUUCGAGGCCAUGCUCGAGUUCAUCUACAGCGACUCGCUGCCGGAGAUCGACGUCGGCGAGACGCUGGAGAUGGCCCAACACCUCCUCGUGGCGGCCGAUAGGUAUGAUCUGCAAAGUUUGAAGUCGAUCUGCAAGGACAUGUUGUGUGGCAACAUUGACACGCGCACGACAGCAACCGCCCUAACACUGGCCGAGCAGCAUGGUUGUGGCGGGCUGAAGGACGCAUGCAUAUUGUACCUCUCGGCACACCUGGAGGCCGUCAUGGUGAGCGACGGCUUUCCACACCUGACAGAGAGCUGCCCCGCCCUCCACAUGGACAUCGUCGACCAGACCAAGUCCGUGUCUCACGUUCUCAAGAUUAUCGGCUACUCUAAAACCAAAACGCUCGGCGGCUACCACAAUUGCCUCACAUCCACAGUGUUCGUCAUACGAGGCCGGCGCUGGUGCGUGGAGUACUACCCUGAUGGCCACAAUUCGGAACACACGGGCUGGAUAUCCAUCUUUGUCGGGCUUGAUCGCUCCGACGCCACUGCAGCCACCGCUCAGGGUGGACACGGUCCGGGCCGGUCCGGUCCCGGUCCGAGCCGUCGUUUGGACCGGCCGCCGGCGGGCCGGACCGGACCGGACCGAGGAGGCGAGCGGUCCUGUUUUGGGGGACCGGACCGGCAUCGACGAAGCCCGAGCCAGACCGACUGGACCGAAUGGACCGGCCAACAACUACCGGCGUCGAUGUGUGUGAGUGCAGCGGCGAGGUGGGCUACUUGCAUGACUGAUGGGACGAAGUGGAGGACGUGCGCGAGCGCCUACGUGCGCGAGAAAUUAGCUAACAACUGA
This 909-nucleotide ribosomal RNA is filed under the name Triticum aestivum (bread wheat). RNAcentral describes it as "partial small subunit ribosomal RNA". The record is from RNAcentral. Lineage: Eukaryota; Viridiplantae; Streptophyta; Magnoliopsida; Poales; Poaceae.